CAUGCAAGUCGAACGAAGCACUUCAUAAAGCUUGCUUUAAGAAGUGACUUAGUGGCGGACGGGUGAGUAACGCGUGGGUAACCUGCCUUACACAGGGGGAUAACAGUUAGAAAUGACUGCUAAUACCGCAUAAAACAGCAGAGUCGCAUGACUCAACUGUCAAAGAUUUAUCGGUGUAAGAUGGACCCGCGUCUGAUUAGCUAGUUGGCGGGGUAACGGCCUACCAAGGCGACGAUCAGUAGCCGGCCUGAGAGGGUGAACGGCCACAUUGGGACUGAGACACGGCCCAAACUCCUACGGGAGGCAGCAGUGGGGAAUAUUGGACAAUGGGCGAAAGCCUGAUCCAGCGACGCCGCGUGAGCGAUGAAGUAUUUCGGUAUGUAAAGCUCUA
RNAcentral lists this ribosomal RNA (391 nucleotides) under uncultured bacterium. Its description in RNAcentral is "bacterial SSU rRNA". It matches the Rfam family "Bacterial small subunit ribosomal RNA", at positions 54 to 435 of the family's 1533-position model. The record is from RNAcentral.